AUUGAACGCUGGCGGCAUGCCUAACACAUGCAAGUCGAACGGCAGCACAGCAGUAGCAAUACUGUGGGUGGCGAGUGGCGGACGGGUGAGGAAUACGUCGGAAUCUGCCCAGUCGUGGGGGAUAACUAGCCGAAAGGUUAGCUAAUACCGCAUACGACCGAGAGGUGAAAGCGGGGGACCGCAAGGCCUCGCGCGAUUGGAUGAGCCGACGUCGGAUUAGCUAGUUGGCGGGUAAAGGCCCACCAAGGCGACGAUCCGUAGCUGGUCUGAGAGGAUGAUCAGCCACACUGGAACUGAGACACGGUCCAGACUCCUACGGGAGGCAGCAGUGGGGAAUAUUGGACAAUGGGCGCAAGCCUGAUCCAGCAAUGCCGCGUGUGUGAAGAA
This 387-nucleotide ribosomal RNA is filed under the name uncultured bacterium. RNAcentral describes it as "bacterial SSU rRNA". It matches the Rfam family "Bacterial small subunit ribosomal RNA", at positions 29 to 412 of the family's 1533-position model. The record is from RNAcentral.